UACGUAGGUGGCAAGCGUUGUCCGGAAUUACUGGGUGUAAAGCGCGUGUAGGCGGCAGACCAAGUCGGCGGUGAAAGCGCCCGGCUCAACUGGGCGAGGUCCGUGGAAACUGGUCAGCUGGAGGACGGUAGAGGCGAGUGGAAUUCCCGGUGUAGUGGUGAAAUGCGUAGAGAUCGGGAGGAACACCUGUGGCGAAGGCGGCUUGCCAGAACGCGCUCGACGGUGAGGGAUGAAAGCUGGGGGGAGCAAACCGG
RNAcentral lists this ribosomal RNA (254 nucleotides) under uncultured bacterium. RNAcentral describes it as "partial 16S ribosomal RNA". It matches the Rfam family "Bacterial small subunit ribosomal RNA", at positions 524 to 776 of the family's 1533-position model. The record is from RNAcentral.